Molecule: ribosomal RNA, 368 nt
Filed under: uncultured archaeon
Lineage: Archaea
Description: bacterial SSU rRNA
Rfam family: Archaeal small subunit ribosomal RNA
Source: RNAcentral
GACUGACGGUAGGGAAUAAAGCUAGGGGCACGAACCGGAUUAGAUACCCGGGUUAGUCCUAGCCGUAAACGAUACUCUCUAGGUGUCGGCCACGGUGCGACCGUUGUCGGUGCCGUAGGGAAGCCGUGAAGCGAGCCACCUGGGAAGUACGGCCGCAAGGCUGAAACUUAAAGGAAUUGGCGGGGGAGCACCACAACGGGUGGAGCUUGCGGUUUAAUUGGAUUCAACGCCGGAAAUCUUACCGGGACCGACAGCAAUAUGAAGGCCAGGCUGAAGACUUUGCCGGAUUAGCUGAGAGGAGGUGCAUGGCCGUCGUCAGUUCGUACUGUGAAGCAUCCUGUUAAGUCAGGCAACGAGCGAGACCCAAU